This 449-nucleotide ribosomal RNA is filed under the name uncultured bacterium. RNAcentral describes it as "partial 16S ribosomal RNA". It matches the Rfam family "Bacterial small subunit ribosomal RNA", at positions 29 to 523 of the family's 1533-position model. The record is from RNAcentral.
AACGAACGCUGGCGGCAUGCCUAACACAUGCAAGUCGAACGAAGCCUUCGGGCUUAGUGGCGCACGGGUGCGUAACGCGUGGGAAUCUGCCCUUGGGUUCGGAAUAACAGUUAGAAAUGACUGCUAAUACCGGAUGAUGUCUUCGGACCAAAGAUUUAUCGCCUAAGGAUGAGCCCGCGUAGGAUUAGGUAGUUGGUGGGGUAAUGGCCCACCAAGCCGACGAUCCUUAGCUGGUCUGAGAGGAUGACCAGCCACACUGGGACUGAGACACGGCCCAGACUCCUACGGGAGGCAGCAGUGGGGAAUAUUGGACAAUGGGCGAAAGCCUGAUCCAGCAAUGCCGCGUGAGUGAUGAAGGCCUUAGGGUUGUAAAGCUCUUUUACCAGGGAUGAUAAUGACAGUACCUGGAGAAUAAGCUCCGGCUAACUCCGUGCCAGCCGCCGCGGUAA